This 495-nucleotide ribosomal RNA is filed under the name uncultured bacterium. RNAcentral's name for it is "partial 16S ribosomal RNA". It matches the Rfam family "Bacterial small subunit ribosomal RNA", at positions 28 to 505 of the family's 1533-position model. The record is from RNAcentral.
GAUGAACGCUGGCGGCGUGCCUAAUACAUGCAAGUCGAGCGAACAGACGAGGAGCUUGCUCCUCUGACGUUAGCGGCGGACGGGUGAGUAACACGUGGAUAACCUACCUAUAAGACUGGGAUAACUUCGGGAAACCGGAGCUAAUACCGGAUAAUAUAUUGAACCGCAUGGUUCAAUAGUGAAAGACGGUUUUGCUGUCACUUAUAGAUGGAUCCGCGCCGCAUUAGCUAGUUGGUAAGGUAACGGCUUACCAAGGCAACGAUGCGUAGCCGACCUGAGAGGGUGAUCGGCCACACUGGAACUGAGACACGGUCCAGACUCCUACGGGAGGCAGCAGUAGGGAAUCUUCCGCAAGGGGCGAAAGCCUGACGGAGCAACGCCGCGUGAGUGAUGAAGGUCUUCGGAUCGUAAAACUCUGUUAUUAGGGAAGAACAAAUGUGUAAGUAACUAUGCACGUCGUGACGGUACCUAAUCAGAAAGCCACGGCUAACUACG